AUCCAAAAACACAUGCUUCCAAAACUUUCUUCUAGUGAGUGCUAUGAGCUAAGUUUUACAAUCAAUAGGAAUUUAGUCAAUACAUCAUGUUGCAGAUUUUCUGACAUUGAGUUUAACAGUUUUUCCAUUUCUCCUCAGACGCUUUAAAGCCGGUAAGAUCCGCUGUGUGAUCCCUUUCACAAGGCAGGCAGAGCGUAGUCGGGCGCUUCUCAUGUAAAGUCUGGUACGAAUUCUAGAAUUCAGAAUUAAUUUGUGUGACCAAAUUGUUCCAUCAAGAUCCCCUUGACACCUAUCUGUUUGUAUUUGUUGCUAUAACGUUACAAAUCUAGCAACAUUUAGAUGAAUAUCACUAUUAAUACAAAAUACCCACAGACAUUGUAUCAAUUUCUCAGCUGUUACGGCUAUUCGGCUGGAUCCUCUUUGCAAGCCCGGUAUUCCCUUCCCUGAAAUUUAACUGUACAGUACUGAGCUCUUUUCUAACAAUUGAUUUAUAUAUCUAGCCCUUUCUGACAUAUCGGAUUUGAUCAAUAUCGCAAUAUCCAAUUCCGACAUCAAAGAGACGUAUCCAUGAGCGAGAUAUUGAGUUUGGGAAUUAUUGUUCCACUCAGCUCUCUCUCUUCCCUAUUGGAUCUUUUGGGUUUCGCUAACACCAAAUUAAGGCAGAUAAGACAUAACCUUUCUCGCUCAGCAUUUAUACUUAAACUGUACAGCGAGAUACUAAGUCAGAGUUACACUUACUGGCUAAACAUCUAUACCUAGGUUAAAAACAACGAAAUACUGAUUUCAUCAUAGCUGUUUCAGUUAACUCUUACAGUUCUAGUAAUACCAACCCAGACAGACUUGCGACAAACAUAUCAGCAGGACAAGACUUUAGUAACUAUCGUUGUAUUUACUCUUACUAGCUUUACCAGAUUUCACUAUUACCAUAUCAAUUAUCUAGGCAGACCAAUAGAUUAAUAAAAAUAUAUUCUACUAAAAAUAGCAGCAAUAGGAAUCCAGGAGCUUUUAGAUGUUUUUAGACCAAUAGAUUAACCUAGUUGCUUAGCAAGCAUACUGACUCCGUUUCUAAACAAAGUUUUUACCGCAAUUUUAGGUGGUGGUUCUGCUCACUAUUUUUCACGGGUGCACUAUAAAUCUUUUAUUUAUUGAUUUUAUUUAUUGAUUUAAUAAAAGUUACGUUUUAUAUUUAUUAGGAUUAUAACCUUAAUUGGUUUAUAUUUCCACACAUUUUGGAUUAUUGGGCAUUGGUUCCCUCUCCCUUUCUACUCUCCUGUGUUGCAAUUCUUUUUUGUAGAAACAAACUAACUUUGCUUAAAACAAGUGAAGCAAGCCCCAGUAGUGCUCUAUACACAGAAAAGAGAGUAAAAUAGAGAAAUAUAUUGUUAAGAGAGUAAACUUCAAAGUGGCAAUGAGGCAUUCUUACAGCAGUAACACAAACACCUUUAAUAAGUUAAGGAUUCUAAAUUUAUCAAUUGUACCUACAGCAUUCAUGAGACCAAAGUAAAGAGAAAAGGAAGAAAUGUGAGGCUGGCAGUGUACCUCCAGAAAAACACCAAUCUGAUCAUCUUUUAAGAAUAGCAAUCCAUGGACGUAGAAAACCCCUAAAAUCUUAGAGAAGCAUUUCACAAAAAUAAGACAUGGACCUUCACAGACCAUUCACUUGGAUGCAAAACAAAUCUUACAGUUACUUCUUUGGAAAUUAUAUAAUUUAAUAAAUCAUUGAAAA
This is a non-coding RNA of Pelobates cultripes (western spadefoot toad), 1726 nucleotides long. The record is from the annotation of a GenBank genome assembly. Lineage: Eukaryota; Metazoa; Chordata; Amphibia; Anura; Pelobatidae.